RNAcentral lists this ribosomal RNA (500 nucleotides) under uncultured bacterium. RNAcentral's name for it is "partial 16S ribosomal RNA". It matches the Rfam family "Bacterial small subunit ribosomal RNA", at positions 30 to 523 of the family's 1533-position model. The record is from RNAcentral.
AUUGAACGCUGGCGGCAUGCCUUACACAUGCAAGUCGAACGGUAACGGGUCCUUCGGGAUGCCGACGAGUGGCGAACGGGUGAGUAAUAUAUCGGAACGUGCCCAGUAGUGGGGGAUAACUGCUCGAAAGAGCAGCUAAUACCGCAUACGACCUGAGGGUGAAAGGGGGGGAUCGCAAGACCUUGUGCUACUAGAGCGGCCGAUGGCAGAUUAGGUAGUUGGUGGGAUAAAAGCUUACCAAGCCGAGGAUCUGUAGCUGGUCUGAGAGGACGAUCAGCCACACUGGGACUGAGAAACGGCCCAGACUCUGACGGGAGGCAGCAGUGGGGAAUUUUGGACAAUAGGCGCAAGCCUGAUCCAGCAAUGCCGCGUGCAGGAUGAAGGCCUUCGGGUUGUAAACUGCUUUUGUACGGAACGAAAAGCCCCGGGUUAAUACCCUGGGGUCAUGACGGUACCGUAAGAAUAAGCACCGGCUAACUACGUGCCAGCCGCCGCAGUAA